UUAAGUUAUUAAGGGCGCACGGUGGAUGCCUUGGCACUAGAAGCCGAUGAAGGACGUUACUAACGACGAUAUGCUUUGGGGAGCUGUAAGUAAGCUUUGAUCCAGAGAUUUCCGAAUGGGGAAACCCAGCAUGAGUUAUGUCAUGUUAUCGAUAUGUGAAUACAUAGCAUAUCAGAAGGCACACCCGGAGAACUGAAACAUCUUAGUANNNNNNNNNNNNNNNNNNNNNNNNNCCGGAGGAAGAGAAAGAAAAUUCGAUUCCCUUAGUAGCGGCGAGCGAAACGGGAAGAGCCCAAACCAACAAGCUUGCUUGUUGGGGUUGUAGGACACUCUAUACGGAGUUACAAAGGACGACAUUAGACGAAUCAUCUGGAAAGAUGAAUCAAAGAAGGUAAUAAUCCUGUAGUCGAAAAUGUUGUCUCUCUUGAGUGGAUCCUGAGUACGACGGAGCACGUGAAAUUCCGUCGGAAUCUGGGAGGACCAUCUCCUAAGGCUAAAUACUCUCUAGUGACCGAUAGUGAACCAGUACCGUGAGGGAAAGGUGAAAAGCACCCCGGAAGGGGAGUGAAAUAGAACCUGAAACCGUGUGCUUACAAGUAGUCAGAGCCCGUUAAUGGGUGAUGGCGUGCCUUUUGUAGAAUGAACCGGCGAGUUACGAUUUGAUGCAAGGUUAAGCAGUAAAUGUGGAGCCGUAGCGAAAGCGAGUCUGAAUAGGGCGUUUAGUAUUUGGUCGUAGACCCGAAACCAGGUGAUCUACCCUUGGUCAGGUUGAAGUUCAGGUAACACUGAAUGGAGGACCGAACCGACUUACGUUGAAAAGUGAGCGGAUGAACUGAGGGUAGCGGAGAAAUUCCAAUCGAACCUGGAGAUAGCUGGUUCUCUCCGAAAUAGCUUUAGGGCUAGCCUCAAGUGAUGAUUAUUGGAGGUAGAGCACUGUUUGGACGAGGGGCCCCUCUCGGGUUACCGAAUUCAGACAAACUCCGAAUGCCAAUUAAUUUAACUUGGGAGUCAGAACAUGGGUGAUAAGGUCCGUGUUCGAAAGGGAAACAGCCCAGACCACCAGCUAAGGUCCCAAAAUAUAUGUUAAGUGGAAAAGGAUGUGGCGUUGCCCAGACAACUAGGAUGUUGGCUUAGAAGCAGCCAUCAUUUAAAGAGUGCGUAAUAGCUCACUAGUCGAGUGACACUGCGCCGAAAAUGUACCGGGGCUAAACAUAUUACCGAAGCUGUGGAUUGUCCUUUGGACAAUGGUAGGAGAGCGUUCUAAGGGCGUUGAAGCAUGAUCGUAAGGACAUGUGGAGCGCUUAGAAGUGAGAAUGCCGGUGUGAGUAGCGAAAGACGGGUGAGAAUCCCGUCCACCGAUUGACUAAGGUUUCCAGAGGAAGGCUCGUCCGCUCUGGGUUAGUCGGGUCCUAAGCUGAGGCCGACAGGCGUAGGCGAUGGAUAACAGGUUGAUAUUCCUGUACCACCUAUAAUCGUUUUAAUCGAUGGGGGGACGCAGUAGGAUAGGCGAAGCGUGCGAUUGGAUUGCACGUCUAAGCAGUAAGGCUGAGUAUUAGGCAAAUCCGGUACUCGUUAAGGCUGAGCUGUGAUGGGGAGAAGACAUUGUGUCUUCGAGUCGUUGAUUUCACACUGCCGAGAAAAGCCUCUAGAUAGAAAAUAGGUGCCCGUACCGCAAACCGACACAGGUAGUCAAGAUGAGAAUUCUAAGGUGAGCGAGCGAACUCUCGUUAAGGAACUCGGCAAAAUGACCCCGUAACUUCGGGAGAAGGGGUGCUCUUUAGGGUUAACGCCCAGAAGAGCCGCAGUGAAUAGGCCCAAGCGACUGUUUAUCAAAAACACAGGUCUCUGCUAAACCGUAAGGUGAUGUAUAGGGGCUGACGCCUGCCCGGUGCUGGAAGGUUAAGAGGAGUGGUUAGCUUCUGCGAAGCUACGAAUCGAAGCCCCAGUAAACGGCGGCCGUAACUAUAACGGUCCUAAGGUAGCGAAAUUCCUUGUCGGGUAAGUUCCGACCCGCACGAAAGGCGUAACGAUUUGGGCACUGUCUCAACGAGAGACUCGGUGAAAUCAUAGUACCUGUGAAGAUGCAGGUUACCCGCGACAGGACGGAAAGACCCCGUGGAGCUUUACUGUAGCCUGAUAUUGAAAUUCGGCACAGCUUGUACAGGAUAGGUAGGAGCCUUUGAAACGUGAGCGCUAGCUUACGUGGAGGCGCUGGUGGGAUACUACCCUAGCUGUGUUGGCUUUCUAACCCGCACCACUUAUCGUGGUGGGAGACAGUGUCAGGCGGGCAGUUUGACUGGGGCGGUCGCCUCCUAAAAGGUAACGGAGGCGCUCAAAGGUUCCCUCAGAAUGGUUGGAAAUCAUUCAUAGAGUGUAAAGGCAUAAGGGAGCUUGACUGCGAGACCUACAAGUCGAGCAGGGUCGAAAGACGGACUUAGUGAUCCGGUGGUUCCGCAUGGAAGGGCCAUCGCUCAACGGAUAAAAGCUACCCCGGGGAUAACAGGCUUAUCUCCCCCAAGAGUUCACAUCGACGGGGAGGUUUGGCACCUCGAUGUCGGCUCAUCGCAUCCUGGGGCUGUAGUCGGUCCCAAGGGUUGGGCUGUUCGCCCAUUAAAGCGGUACGCGAGCUGGGUUCAGAACGUCGUGAGACAGUUCGGUCCCUAUCCGUCGUGGGCGUAGGAAAUUUGAGAGGAGCUGUCCUUAGUACGAGAGGACCGGGAUGGACAUACCUCUGGUGUACCAGUUGUCGUGCCAACGGCAUAGCUGGGUAGCUAUGUGUGGACGGGAUAAGUGCUGAAAGCAUCUAAGCAUGAAGCCCCCCUCAAGAUGAGAUUUCCCAACUUCGGUUAUAAGAUCCCUCAAAGAUGAUGAGGUUAAUAGGUUCGAGGUGGAAGCAUGGUGACAUGUGGAGCUGACGAAUACUAAUCGAUCGAAGACUUAAUCAA
RNAcentral lists this ribosomal RNA (2945 nucleotides) under Staphylococcus aureus. RNAcentral's name for it is "23S ribosomal RNA". It matches the Rfam family "Bacterial large subunit ribosomal RNA". Lineage: Bacteria; Bacillati; Bacillota; Bacilli; Caryophanales; Staphylococcaceae. The record is from RNAcentral.